This is a long non-coding RNA of Poecilia latipinna (sailfin molly), 2810 nucleotides long. RefSeq lists it as uncharacterized. The record is from RefSeq and is a predicted model, not a curated record. The transcript has 2 exons. Lineage: Eukaryota; Metazoa; Chordata; Actinopteri; Cyprinodontiformes; Poeciliidae.
GAAAUAAUAAAAAAAAUAAUAUGGGAAAAUUAAAACCCAUUUUGUCCCUAUUCUCAAGAAUCACUGAUAUAUUAGAACCAGUCUGGUUGCGGAUGAAUCGCCAGUCGUCUGCCUAACUUCCCCCUCCUGAUCCCUCCAUGGAUUCUUCGAAGAUUCAAGCUCCAAAAAUGAUUAUUACUCAGAGACUGAAGACUGUCCGAUGCAGUAGAGGAGCAUGUUGGUGUCUCCGGCCAAACUUCACGAACAGCCCAACAACCUGAAGACAAUCUGUUAGUGACUGGACAUCUCUCUGGUGGAGUGCAGAGAGGAUCUGUCUCUUAUGAACAGAAACAGAAACUGGAUAAGAAAUUAUGGAUCUGAAUAUCAGGUUGGUCUGUUAUGUAAUGUACAUAUCUGGCAAUCUACCUGUUAAAAGAAAAUGUACUCUAUCAAAUAUUACAUGAACUGCAUGAAUUGAUACAGGUUUUACUUUCUCCACUUUGUACUUUGAACAAUUUCAUGCAUAUGGUAUUGAAGAAAAACGUAUUAAGCAUACUGCAUUUUGUAUUGCACAGCUGAUAUGUCAGACCCUUUAAUAAGCAAUAUGUGAAUGAAAGCGACAUGUGAAAUAUGCACAUUAUUCCAUGUAAUAUGUUUUGUAAUUACGGUGCACGUUUUGAAAUAAAUGCAUUUGAGAAAAUUAUUGCCUCUUUAUUAAAUGUUUAUUUUCCAAAGAACUUUUAAAAGUUCAAAACAAUAUAGUACCUAUUUAAUAUUACAAAUAACUCUUAAGAAGUUAAAGAAGUACUCUGAGAGAGUUAAUAUUAAGAUCUAACACUGAAUUAGUGUUAGUAAGUGUUAAAUGAUUAACUCCAGCAGAUUUGAUAUUUGACACUUUAUUAGAGUUGAGGUACCAACUCUCCAAAAAGAGUUAAAUUAACACUUUCUGGUGUGGACCCAUAUAGACACUUUAAAAGUGUUGAAAUCAAAGCUGACAGUGUUAAUCUGGGCCUCCUGGAUUUGCUGUGUACUUUUAGCCAUUUUGUACUGACUACGUUUUGCUACUAAUGGUAUCUUGGAGGCUAAACUUCCUAGCUGGACUUAUUGUUCAGUAUCUGAAGUUUUUUUUUUCUUUACAUACUUUAACUUUUCAAAAUUAUGUUUUGGUUUCAAAUUGUAUUUUUUUUUGUAUUUUGUUUUUUAUGGUGCAAGUUAUGCAGCUCUUUCUGCUCUGAUGCCCAAUCUUGGAAAUGAUCUGGGUCUGCUACCGACGGAUACGUUCCACUGCCGGCCUUUAAAAACUGUUAUGGCCUGAGAUCAUUUGUCUACAUAUGUUAGUAUUCCAACAUACAAAGUCAAUCUCAACAUGGGCAGCAUGUUGCGUGCACCAAAUCCAUUCUGUAAAUUGGUUUGUUGUGUCUGUUCAUGUGGCGUGAUGUUUUGUACAUUCUGCAGUACAGGAAUCUGCUGUAAUGCAUCAUGCUGAGCCAGGCCCGAUUUCUUCUUUCCUUGUUUAAAAUAAUUAAAUAAAUCAAUAAAUUGAUGUGUGUUGACAUGAAAAAUGAUCAUAGAAAUGAUAUCACUGAUAACCUUGGAGAAGCUGAAAAGGUUUAAAAACAUUCCCGCGUGUUCUUCUGUGGGUUUCCAGUGAUUCUAACACAUUUACACUGAGCAGGGAAGUGUUUUAUUUUGAAAAAUGCUUAACAGGAUCUGGUUUUGCAUUUUGUCCUGUCUUGCCUCCUGUUUUCAGUUCAAACAGCUGUUGUAGUUAUUGUCUAUUUGUUCAAUAAAAACAAGACAUCUGCUCAGAUGUCUUUGCUAAACAUUUUGUAUUCAGUUUCUGUUGUGAUUGCAGAAGCUUUCACGACGUAACAUCACACCCAGUGAGGAAGUAACAUUUUGAGCAAGAACAUCAAUCUAAGGACUGGAGAUUAAACUCUUUCCUUCCUGUGUUUCUCUGAGACUGAGGAAAUUAAACAUAGAACAGAUUCUUUAAAAUUAGUAGCAACAUUGUCUGAUCGAUCUACUACAAUGAAAUGUUCUCUCAGGUUUGUAGUGAUGGAACAGUAACAGUGGGGAAUACUGUUAUUGUUUCACAUUUAAUGUCAGCACAAGGUCACAAAGUGGAUAGGACUGGCUUCUUUGAGUAAAACCAUUUGAGUCUAAGGUAGAAUUAAAUUUAGCCCUUCACCCUCAAUGUCAGCAUGAAUGUUAAGGCCUCCAAUAUAAUGAUCGUGUUUAACACUAAACUAGACUCAAAAACAUCUGAUCAGUCAGUGAACGUGGGAUAGAUAGACUGAUUAGCCACUGAGAGGUUAAAACAGUCACUCUUUGGCCUGGUUAGCUAACCAUAUUCUUAAUAGACACAAAGCUGCUUCAGUUCUAGCAGCUGAUCACUCGUUCUGCAGUCCAGUCUUGUCAUGUGAAGCUAAACUCUUGUGUGUUUGCAGUUUCCCAGCAGCCAGGCAGCAUGCAGGGCUUUGGGGUGAACGGGAUGGCUGGAGGUGACCCUGGGAUGACACUGAGCCAGGCUACGUAUCGUUCACAGCCCGGCUCCACCCAGAUGAUGAUGUGGUCCUACCCGCCACCUCCGUCCUACUGCAACCACCCACCGCCACCUUAUGAAAAAAUCAUCCAAAAUGACAACAAGAAGUAAUGUCUUCAAAAAGCUAACCUGGUGGAACAUGAGAAGGGAAGCAGGGUGAUGGAGACAAAGUGCAGCUAAAGCCGAGGAGAACAAGGACCAGUCUGCUGUUUGCAGGUUCAUGCUAACUGACUGUGUGUGAAGAGUUAAUAACACAGAUCCGUCGUUGAAAAUAAGCGCAAUAAUA